Clupea harengus (Atlantic herring) is the source of this 1257-nucleotide long non-coding RNA. RefSeq lists it as uncharacterized. The transcript is spliced from 3 exons. Lineage: Eukaryota; Metazoa; Chordata; Actinopteri; Clupeiformes; Clupeidae. The record is from RefSeq and is a predicted model, not a curated record.
AUGGUAGUAGGGCAACCCACUCCAGAAGUUGUCAGGAGUUUUGUUCCGGACAAAUCUAGGUGGAGCAAGCACUGAGUUUGUCCCAGCAUGAACAGGUAUCAAUAUAUACACCUGGUGAAGGGUUGCUGAUGACUACAUUGAUGUGGUCUUGUACUUGUAUAUAGUUAAUGUUGAACUUGUAUAAAAUGUUUAAAAUAUAUUUGAUUAUGCUUCUGACGGCUCCAAAACACUCUUGGCAUGAGUGAUGAGGAGGAGGUGGCAUACACUGAUGGCAUUGCAUUAACGAGAAAGGACUUCAUUACACUUGCUAAUCCUGUAGAAGUUGACGGAAAUUUAAGAAUAUCAUGACAUACUAACAGUUUAACAGUGAAGUACAGUGCUUUGUGGUAUAGUGUCCCUUUUUUCCAAUAGGUGCUGAAUUUUGGGUUUCCAGCUUCUACAAAGAAUAGCUAGUCAACAGAACAUUGACAUCUUUGCUGCUGAUUGCCAUGUGACUCUCACCUGGUUGCCCCCAUAUUCAGCAGACCCCAUGGAUCACCUCCCUGUUGAUGUGAAAAUGCAGGACGCUGUGCUCCUUCCAUCAUGGAAACCAGGUCAUUGGAUGAUAUGUGUGAGUUUGUAUUAAAUUAGUGCUUAGUGUUUCCCAUUUAUGAGAUGGAUAUCAGUUAUGUUUUGUACAUGUUUCUUCAUGUUCCAUCAUUCGGGGGUGCAUCAUUUCAGAUCUUGAAGCCCAAACCGAAACAAAUAUUUUUCCUCAACUCAAUGGGAGGCCCUGGCAUUGGUGAUGCCGCUUACACAGCUAAAUACAGGUUAUUUGUAGGGAAUGUUCUUGCGUGAAAGGUUCACUUUUACUUGCCAGUUCAUUUGGUUCUAUAUACCAUAUGCCAUGCUGUCUUCAUCCUAAAAUGCCCCCCCACCCAGUGUUUGUCAUGACUUGUGACAUGAAAGGAAUUCUGCAUCAGAGAAUCAUAAUUUUCCACCUGCUGAAAUGGAAACACCCAAGCAAGUGCUCAUGGCAUAUGGUAGUUAAUAUGGUUCCAUAAUCAUUACUCUGUCAUUUCUUUUUUUUCUUUGGAUCUUUUCUCUAUGGGGUAGUUCCUGUUCAAAACCCCAAGUUACAUUUCCCAGCAGUUAUCAAAUCUGAAGGACCUGCAUUGUAGUACAGUGCACAUCUGUGAUUAUAAUACUCCGUUUUUCUCCAUUAUCCAUUUUUUUUUUCAGAGAACUUUCUCAGGAGAUAAGUGAGUGUCUGGACAG